CCCCUCCAGAUCCUUGCCCCUCAAACCGAAAUAUUGGUCUGAGUGGCUUCAAAAAAAAGAAGGGAAAGUAAAACUGAAGUGGACUUAGAGUCUUUAGUGAUAAACAAGUUCAUUUCAAACUAAU
Molecule: small nucleolar RNA, 124 nt
Filed under: Echinops telfairi (small Madagascar hedgehog)
Lineage: Eukaryota; Metazoa; Chordata; Mammalia; Afrosoricida; Tenrecidae
Description: Small nucleolar RNA SNORA61 (ENSETEG00000026337.1)
Source: RNAcentral